GACGAACGCUGGCGGCGUGCUUAGCACAUGCAAGUCGAACGGAAAGGCCCUGCUUUUGUGGGGUGCUCGAGUGGCGAACGGGUGAGUAACACGUGAGUAACCUGCCCUUGACUUUGGGAUAACUUCAGGAAACUGGGGCUAAUACCGGAUAGGAGCUCCUGCUGCAUGGUGGGGGUUGGAAAGUUUCGGCGGUUGGGGAUGGACUCGCGGCUUAUCAGCUUGUUGGUGGGGUAGUGGCUUACCAAGGCUUUGACGGGUAGCCGGCCUGAGAGGGUGACCGGCCACAUUGGGACUGAGAUACGGCCCAGACUCCUACGGGAGGCAGCAGUGGGGAAUAUUGCACAAUGGGCGGAAGCCUGAUGCAGCAACGCCGCGUGCGGGAUGACGGUCUUCGGGUUGUAAACCGCUUUCGCCUGUGACGAAGCGUGAGUGACGGUAAUGGGUAAAGAAGCACCGGCUAACUACGUG
RNAcentral lists this ribosomal RNA (468 nucleotides) under uncultured bacterium. RNAcentral's name for it is "partial 16S ribosomal RNA". It matches the Rfam family "Bacterial small subunit ribosomal RNA", at positions 28 to 507 of the family's 1533-position model. The record is from RNAcentral.